Molecule: ribosomal RNA, 482 nt
Filed under: uncultured bacterium
Lineage: Bacteria
Description: partial 16S ribosomal RNA
Rfam family: Bacterial small subunit ribosomal RNA
Source: RNAcentral
AUCGAACGCUGGCGGCAUGCUUUACACAUGCAAGUCGAACGGUAACAGGCCGCAAGGUGCUGACGAGUGGCGAACGGGUGAGUAAUGCACCGGAACGUGCCCAGUCGCGGGGGAUAACUACUCGAAAGAGUAGCUAAUAUCGCAUACGAUCUAUGGUUGAAAGCGGGGGACCGUAAGGCCUCGCGCGAUUGGAGCGGCCGAUGUCAGAUUAGGUAGUUGGUGGGGUAAAGGCUCACCAAGCCAACGAUCUGUAGCUGGUCUGAGAGGACGACGAGCCACACUGGGACUGAGGCACGGCCCAGACUCCCACGGGAGGCAGCGGUGGAGAAUUUUGGACAAUGGGCGCAAGCCUGAUCCAGCAAUGCCGCGUGCAGGAAGAAGGCCUUCGGGUUGUAAACUGCUUUUGUACGGAACGAAACGGCUCUGGUUAAUACCCGGGGCUAAUGACGGUACCGGAAGAAUAAGCACCGGCUAACUACGUG